Molecule: long non-coding RNA, 1242 nt
Filed under: Pan troglodytes (chimpanzee)
Lineage: Eukaryota; Metazoa; Chordata; Mammalia; Primates; Hominidae
Description: lncRNA (ENSPTRG00000054423.1)
Source: RNAcentral
GUAUUGGUCGGGGGAGACUGAACCUACCGUUGAGGUCUCUAAGUUGUGCAUGUCUCUCAGUGACCUACAACUUACAAACGGAUGUAAAAGAGCUCAAAGACAAUGCAGGACUAGAAUCAGAUAGAUUACAUGGAGUUGUAUCCUAUGAACAAGGAAAAGGUUUUCAUUGAAACACACAUUUUUUCUAGAAUGUUAAAAUCAAGUAGAUAGUUAGCAUUCCCUUAAAAAGAAGUUCCAGUUACUAGGGUGACCAGAUUCCUCUCAUGGGCAUUUCUAGGCUGAGGCCUGAUCACGGCCCAGUGGACACCAAUGACAUCACAAAGUGGAGGUUGUCACUAAGGCAACUGAUGACCAGUGAGGGGCUGGAGCACAGGGGUAUAGUGGGCUGCAGUAAGCACUGGCACCUUGAGAGACUCAGGCCAGCAGAAAAAUCAAGCUGUGACAACCGGGGCAAAACCCAGCAAACAUCAUGGCUGGAAACAAACACAGUCGCAGCUCCUGUAAGCCUAGAAGACAGUGCCCUUCCCGUUCCAGAAGAGCGGAGCUGCAGUUUCCUGUUAGCCACAUGGAACGCUGCCUGCGAGAAGGCAGGCAAGGAGGCCCAGAACAGCCACAGGGUGUGCAUCACCCCAGAACACCUGAAGAGAGCACUGCAAAAGAAUGAGCAGCUAAGAUGGAUCUUGGAGGAGGAAGAUGACAUCCACUCUCAGGAAGAAGAAAUGCCCCAACCUGAGGAGGAGGAGGAGGAGGACGAGAGAAUGGAGGAGGAGGAAGAGGAGAAAAAGGAGGAGGAGGAGGAGGAGGAGGAGGAGGAGAAGGAGGAGGAGGAGGAGGAUGAGAGAAUGGAGGAGGAGGAAGAGGAGAAAAAGGAGGAGGAGGAGAAGAAGGAGGAGAAGGAGAAGGAGGAGGAGAAGGAGAAGAAGAAGAAGAAGGGAGGAUUCCUGAGUUUCAGAGCUGUGCAGGACUUCAUCAGCAACCUCUUCCAGCUGCUAAAAUUCCCAUAGAUGAAAGACCCCAGGCAACUCAUUGUGAAGAUGCCCACCCCACCACUGGGUGAUUCCUUAUGGAGAACUAUAGAGCAUUCCCAGCCUUAGCCCAGAUCGUCACUUUCUCUUCUGUGCAUUUGAGAAGCAAGCAGGCGUCUCUCCAGCAUCUGCAGGUAGGGAGUCUCCUUCAGCUGAUCACAUCAUGGUGACAGCAGCACCCCCUCCCCUUGCCAAAGUGAAACAUCUUUGUUUUCAG